This 504-nucleotide ribosomal RNA is filed under the name uncultured bacterium. RNAcentral's name for it is "partial 16S ribosomal RNA". It matches the Rfam family "Bacterial small subunit ribosomal RNA", at positions 28 to 507 of the family's 1533-position model. The record is from RNAcentral.
GACGAACGCUGGCGGCGUGCUUAACACAUGCCAGUCGAACGGUGAAGCGCUUGCCUUUUUGGUGGGUGUGGAUGAGUGGCGAACGGGUGAGUAACACGUGAGUAACCUGCCCUCUUCUUCUGGAUAACCUCAUGAAAGUGGGGCUAAUACGGGGUAUUCCGGGUCUGUCGCAUGGCGGGUUUGGGAAAGAUUGCGCCUUUGGGUGUUUUCGGUGGGGGAUGGGCUCGCGGCCUAUCAGCUUGUUGGUGGGGUGAUGGCCUACCAAGGCGGUGACGGGUAGCCGGCCUGAGAGGGUGGACGGCCACACUGGGACUGAGCCACGGCCCAGACUCCUGCGGGAGGCAGCAGUGGGGAAUAUUGCACAAUGGGCGCAAGCCUGAUGCAGCGACGCCGCGUGAGGGAUGGAGGCCUUCGGGUUGUGAACCUCUUUCGCCAGUGAAGCAGGCCUGCUCCUGUGUGGGUGGGUUGACGGUAGCUGGAUAAGAAGCGCCGGCUAACUACGUG